This 2902-nucleotide ribosomal RNA is filed under the name Klebsiella pneumoniae. RNAcentral's name for it is "23S ribosomal RNA". It matches the Rfam family "Bacterial large subunit ribosomal RNA". Lineage: Bacteria; Pseudomonadati; Pseudomonadota; Gammaproteobacteria; Enterobacterales; Enterobacteriaceae. The record is from RNAcentral.
GGUUAAGCGACUAAGCGUACACGGUGGAUGCCCUGGCAGUCAGAGGCGAUGAAGGACGUGCUAAUCUGCGAAAAGCGUCGGUAAGGUGAUAUGAACCGUUAUAACCGGCGAUGUCCGAAUGGGGAAACCCAGUGCAAUUCGUUGCACUAUCGUUAACUGAAUACAUAGGUUAACGAGGCGAACCGGGGGAACUGAAACAUCUAAGUACCCCGAGGAAAAGAAAUCAACCGAGAUUCCCCCAGUAGCGGCGAGCGAACGGGGAGCAGCCCAGAGUCUGAAUCAGCUUGUGUGUUAGUGGAACGGUCUGGAAAGUCCGACGGUACAGGGUGAUAGUCCCGUACACCAAAAUGCACAGGUUGUGAACUCGAAGAGUAGGGCGGGACACGUGGUAUCCUGUCUGAAUAUGGGGGGACCAUCCUCCAAGGCUAAAUACUCCUGACUGACCGAUAGUGAACCAGUACCGUGAGGGAAAGGCGAAAAGAACCCCGGCGAGGGGAGUGAAAAAGAACCUGAAACCGUGUACGUACAAGCAGUGGGAGCACCUUCGGGUGUGACUGCGUACCUUUUGUAUAAUGGGUCAGCGACUUAUAUUCUGUAGCAAGGUUAACCGUAUAGGGGAGCCGCAGGGAAACCGAGUCUUAACUGGGCGUUAAGUUGCAGGGUAUAGACCCGAAACCCGGUGAUCUAGCCAUGGGCAGGUUGAAGGUUGGGUAACACUAACUGGAGGACCGAACCGACUAAUGUUGAAAAAUUAGCGGAUGACUUGUGGCUGGGGGUGAAAGGCCAAUCAAACCGGGAGAUAGCUGGUUCUCCCCGAAAGCUAUUUAGGUAGCGCCUCGUGAAUUCAUCUUCGGGGGUAGAGCACUGUUUCGGCUAGGGGGUCAUCCCGACUUACCAACCCGAUGCAAACUACGAAUACCGAAGAAUGUUAUCACGGGAGACACACGGCGGGUGCUAACGUCCGUCGUGAAGAGGGAAACAACCCAGACCGCCAGCUAAGGUCCCAAAGUCAUGGUUAAGUGGGAAACGAUGUGGGAAGGCACAGACAGCCAGGAUGUUGGCUUAGAAGCAGCCAUCAUUUAAAGAAAGCGUAAUAGCUCACUGGUCGAGUCGGCCUGCGCGGAAGAUGUAACGGGGCUAAACCAUGCACCGAAGCUGCGGCAGCGACACUAUGUGUUGUUGGGUAGGGGAGCGUUCUGUAAGCCUGCGAAGGUGACCUGUGAGGGUUGCUGGAGGUAUCAGAAGUGCGAAUGCUGACAUAAGUAACGAUAAAGCGGGUGAAAAGCCCGCUCGCCGGAAGACCAAGGGUUCCUGUCCAACGUUAAUCGGGGCAGGGUGAGUCGACCCCUAAGGCGAGGCCGAAAGGCGUAGUCGAUGGGAAACAGGUUAAUAUUCCUGUACUUGGUGUUACUGCGAAGGGGGGACGGAGAAGGCUAUGUUAGCCGGGCGACGGUUGUCCCGGUUUAAGCAUGUAGGCUGGUUGUCCAGGCAAAUCCGGAUAAUCAAGGCUGAGGUGUGAUGACGAGGUACUACGGUGCUGAAGUAACAAAUGCCCUGCUUCCAGGAAAAGCCUCUAAGCAUCAGGUAACAUUAAAUCGUACCCCAAACCGACACAGGUGGUCAGGUAGAGAAUACCAAGGCGCUUGAGAGAACUCGGGUGAAGGAACUAGGCAAAAUGGUGCCGUAACUUCGGGAGAAGGCACGCUGGUGUGUAGGUGAAGUCCCUGCGGAUGGAGCUGAGACCAGUCGAAGAUACCAGCUGGCUGCAACUGUUUAUUAAAAACACAGCACUGUGCAAACACGAAAGUGGACGUAUACGGUGUGACGCCUGCCCGGUGCCGGAAGGUUAAUUGAUGGGGUUAUCCGUAAGGAGAAGCUCUUGAUCGAAGCCCCGGUAAACGGCGGCCGUAACUAUAACGGUCCUAAGGUAGCGAAAUUCCUUGUCGGGUAAGUUCCGACCUGCACGAAUGGCGUAAUGAUGGCCAGGCUGUCUCCACCCGAGACUCAGUGAAAUUGAACUCGCUGUGAAGAUGCAGUGUACCCGCGGCAAGACGGAAAGACCCCGUGAACCUUUACUAUAGCUUGACACUGAACAUUGAGCCUUGAUGUGUAGGAUAGGUGGGAGGCUUUGAAGCGUGGACGCCAGUCUGCGUGGAGCCAACCUUGAAAUACCACCCUUUAAUGUUUGAUGUUCUAACGUUGGCCCCUUACCGGGGUUGCGGACAGUGUCUGGUGGGUAGUUUGACUGGGGCGGUCUCCUCCCAAAGCGUAACGGAGGAGCACGAAGGUUAGCUAAUCCUGGUCGGACAUCAGGAGGUUAGUGCAAUGGCAUAAGCUAGCUUGACUGCGAGCGUGACGGCGCGAGCAGGUGCGAAAGCAGGUCAUAGUGAUCCGGUGGUUCUGAAUGGAAGGGCCAUCGCUCAACGGAUAAAAGGUACUCCGGGGAUAACAGGCUGAUACCGCCCAAGAGUUCAUAUCGACGGCGGUGUUUGGCACCUCGAUGUCGGCUCAUCACAUCCUGGGGCUGAAGUAGGUCCCAAGGGUAUGGCUGUUCGCCAUUUAAAGUGGUACGCGAGCUGGGUUUAGAACGUCGUGAGACAGUUCGGUCCCUAUCUGCCGUGGGCGCUGGAGAAUUGAGGGGGGCUGCUCCUAGUACGAGAGGACCGGAGUGGACGCAUCACUGGUGUUCGGGUUGUCAUGCCAAUGGCACUGCCCGGUAGCUAAAUGCGGAAGAGAUAAGUGCUGAAAGCAUCUAAGCACGAAACUUGCCCCGAGAUGAGUUCUCCCUGAGACUUUAAGUCUCCUGAAGGAACGUUAAAGACGAUGACGUUGAUAGGCCGGGUGUGUAAGCGCAGCGAUGCGUUGAGCUAACCGGUACUAAUGAACCGUGAGGCUUAACCUU